GGACGGCGAAAUUCCCUUGCAUAGUUUCAAAAGGAAUAUACUGUUCAAAACAACUACAGCACAAAAUUGUGUAAUUCUGCAAAAUCAAGCGAAUGCAAAUACUGAGAUAAAUGGUACUUGUUCUAUGUUCUAUGCGACCUGCUGUUUCUUGCUCUUCUUCAGGCAUUUGCUUCUUUCUACAGAUUUUCUUCUCUUGGGACUGCACAUUUCACCAUCGUUGUCUGGCUCCUCGUCCCGUUCAAUAGUUCUACUCUUCUUUUUCUUUUUUUUCUUUUUUUCUUUUCUAGCAUACAUUUCACCAUUAUUAUCACUAUGGUCGACCACUCCAACUUGUUCUUCGUCCUCUUCAGUUGGUCUGCUCUUCUUUUUCUUCUUUUCUUUUCGGACUUCAGCCUCCGCCUCCACUAAAGACUCCAAUUGCUUGAAUUUCAUCUCUCCAGGCUCUAGAGCAAUAAUAGUGUUAGCAUGGGACCACGCAGAUGCCCUUGGAGAAAAUGGGAUUAAUGAAAAAUGCCAUUUCAGGUUUACAAUCUAAAAAGGUUCUAAUGACAAAAGGGGGCUGCCAUCUCAACCACCAUGUUAUUCAGGUAUGUGAUUGUUUACAUUGCCUAUUGUUAAACUUCUUCUAAACUAAGAAAUUGCAUUUGAAACUACGAACAACAAACAAUUGAUGUGCAGUGACAACUGUUGUGAAUAGAUAAUAACCUUCAACAGAAAAAUGUGAAUCAAGGACCACCGUUGUAAGGUGCUGCUUCAGAAAGACCUGCAUGAGAACAAAACAAGACAACUAGUUAAUCAUAGAAAUAGCUUAAAAUAUAUUAGAAAUCAUUCAUUUACAUCGAAGUAGACAUUUGAAACAAGUAUACUAUCAACUGCCAGUGACCACCAAGUUACUUCAUUUUGUUUGUGAAAUGAAAUGGAGGCCCAAAAUUAGUUCGUAAUGCAGCAAAACAAAAUUAACUCCAAUAUGUGCUUGAAUGUUAUGUCAGCCCUCAGCAGUUCUCGAACUUACAGCAGAUAGCAACUGUCUUGUGUUUGUGUCCCAGAUACGUAAGUAGCUAUCCAGUCCUACAAAGACAAACAUUUCCUGAGUUAUUCAUAAUUCUGAAACUUGAUGUUUUAAUUUGUAACAGAAACUAUCUAGAAUGCCAAGUGAAACAGGCAUCCCAGUAGAAAGAAUCUAAGCCUUUCUGGAGGUAGUCUUACCGCAAGAUGCUAUCAAAGGUAGCUCUGGAUGCCUAACAAUAGAUCUAAUACUUCCACUGCAUUUGCCAAUAUAGCAUCCCAGCAAUUUCCCUAAAAUGUGGGGGAAAUGUUGAUUUUGCAAUUUUAGUAUCAGAUAAAAAUUGAAGUAACAGUACUGAUAAUAAAACGGUCAAAUUUAGCUCAUCGCCGCUUGCACAUGUGAUACUUGCAACCAUUUUCUUCCUGUUAGUGUUACUGAUAACCUAUUUUCUCUCCUUAACAACCAUCUAAACAACAGUUCUACACAAGUGUUACUAAUAACCUAUUUUCUAUCCUUAACUACUAUCUAAGCAACAGUUUUACACAAAUUAUAGCCCAUGUUCAGCCUGCCCACAAUGUAUAUUCCUAUCAGUACACAUGUAGGUCAGCAUUGUUUUAGUUGGAAUACCACCUUAGAUGCAGACUACAGGCUAACAAAAGAGAGAAAAACUUAAGUAGCAACAGUGGAACAGAAGGUGCAUUGCCAGUUGUAACAAUCCAACACUACAAAAAAUAGAAACUGAACUAACAUAACAUUCUAAAGAAUGUGUCAUAUGAUCAAGUUUUCAAUUCUGAUUAAGAAGAGGGUACUAGCAUAUAGCAGCAUGCCAGCAUCUUACCUGUUCUCAUGUCGAAAGAAGCAAGGUCCCCUGUUCCUGUGCCAAUAUAGACAUCAUGCCCAUUUGGAUCAGCAGCAACUGCCUUGAUUGGUGACUCCCUAAAAUCAACAGAGACGGCAGGUCUUCUUUGCAAUGCAGUAUCAUAUAAGCGGACCUGAAAAGGUAAACAACGUUCGCAUAAAAUGAGUAUCAUCAUCAUCAUCAUUCAUUAGCAAAAUAUGGAGAGAUACCGGUGCCUUUACAUGAACAUGCCUUGCUAAUCUACUGCCUACAAGACUGUAAUGACACAAGUGCAAUAAAUUUCCCAGUACAACCCCCCAGUCAGUUAAUAGAUGCCUGAGUCACCAAGUGGGUUGUGAAGGUUGAUGUGAGGACCUGGUUAACCAGUUUAUGCAAAGCAAGAAUAAAAGUGUAAGAAGGAUGCUAGCUAUCUGUAGGCCUGUCACAUUGGAGGUAUGCCUUUGGGCGAGUUCUUAGCCUGGCAUAUUAGAGCAUCUCCAUCAGAUCCUAUCCAAUCUCCUAUAUCUAAGAAGUUGGGGUUUAGGAGAGGAAGGAGCUGCAACAGAUCUCCUAUAUCUAUAAUUUUACGAGAUCUCCUAAAAGAAGCAUAAUUUCUCCAAAAUAAAGGAGAUAAUUCUUCUCCCCUAUAUCCCUAAAAAAUAUGAGACAAGUUUAGGUAAUCUGCUGCGGCAGUACUCUCCUAUAUCCUAAAUUGACUUUAGAGUACUCCCUUAAAACAACUUAUAGAAGAUAUGACAUGAGAAAUCUGAUGGAGAUACUCACAGCUUAAAAACGUCAUGCAUUUAAACAAAUACGCAUAAACUUCGAAGCAAAAAACUAGCAUCCUUGCAGCUCAGGCACAUGAUAAUCUAUUUGAUCAAAAUAUGUUCAAUCUGUUGGAGUUUUUUUCUUUCAUAGCAAGAGAUACAAGCAUCAGUUUACAUUACCUGAUGAUUAUUUGUGCAGGCAACAAUUUUACGAUGAUCAUUCUUGCACAAGAAGGUUCCAGCAGUGAACCAAGGUCGAGUGAAUAUGCCAAGACUAUUUGCUCGGGGCUUCAGAUGAAACAAAGGAAGAAAAUCAUUUAAUAAAUGAUGAAGGUAUCUAUAUUAGUAUCAAAGAUAAAUUAAAGAAGUCAAUGAGUGCUUACAGAUUUAGCAGACCAUGUCUUACUACUAGAUGUGAUAUCCCACAAGUUCACUUCUAUGCCUUUCCUACAACAAACGGAACCAUUAUUUAUGAAACUUGAAAUUUGCUUAAAGGUUUUCAUGUCAAAUAGCAAGUAUGAUGAACAAAGGCAAUAACGCUCAAAUACAAAUUUUGAAAUAAAACAGAUAAACGCCAUUUCAGAUUCUUUAAGCUCACCCUCCAAAUAUCACAUAGCUUUCGCCAUGAUCUACUGAGCAAAAUUGCACAUUGGCCCCAUUGCACACAUCCCAUGUGGCUGAUGGCCCAACAUCCGAACCCGAAUCUGCAUUUUCUUUCGUGAUGGACCUGAUAGAAGCUUUCCCCUUCUCCGUGCAGGCAAGAAAUGUGCCUAAGCUGCAAUGCACAAUUGGGUCAACAUAGCUUGGCCCCCAGCUACUAACAUGAAUGAACCAUGAAUCUUACACAGUAUGUGUAAGCAUAAAGAUGGGGCAUAGCAUAAACUAAAACCCUAGGAUGAUAACAGAUGGAACAAUUUCAGAAUGAAAAUUUACAUCGAGUCCGAAGUCUGUCUUGCGAAAAGAUGCAGUGCGGCGAGGGGAUCACCUUCAGCGCCACUGUCAUUUGGCGCUGACCCCGCGGUCUUGACAGCAGCCAGAGCACUUCCAUUCAAGGGAUUCAGCAGCUCAACCUACACGAAAUCACCUCAAUCAUUCGCUAGUCGGGACAUCGCAAGUGGUGAGCGCCCCAUGUCCAAAGAGUAGCAGCUACUCACCACGCCGUUCCUCCUCGCCACAGCCAAGACCUGCAGAAGAGCGGCACAUAGCGCAAAUUAGAGGCACGCCUUGAUUAUCAAUGGAUCUGAUAAAAGUCUCCAGUAGUCCAGUCAGCAAGGAGACACGGGCAGGGACGCUCACGGGGUCGGCGGCACGAUCGGCGAGGGAGGCAGCAACGAUGGCACGGGAAGCGUCAGGCGCGCCCCACGUCUCGACGACCUUGGCGGCGCCCGCCGGCCUCGCGUGGGCCUCGACGACUGCAACCAGCCGGGAAAUGGGUGGAGUCAGUGCUACGUAGCAGCGAAAAGACGACGAGGGGGCAGGCGGCGGAGGGGAAGGGGGAGGGUCGCUGGCUACCUUUGACGAGGCCGAGGAUGUCGGUGGUGAGGGCGCGGAGCGGCGGGCAGCCGGAGCUCUCUACCACGGUGGUCCGCGGCAUCCUUAGCUCCGCGCUCGCUUCGGCUCGCCGGCGCGGUGGGCUACUGUUUUUCUAGGGUUUUACUACGACGUGCCGUGCCCGCGCGGAGGUGGCAGGGGCGCGUUCUCCGCGACAACGAGUACAGUACAUGGAUUUGACGGGCCGGGCCGUGGAAAAAGCCAGUCGCGCUAGAGUUUCAGCCUGGCCAGGUGGUGCUUAGAAUUUCCUCAAACAAACAAAGGUGGUGGCGUGAGCAGUCGCAGAGUGUGGCUUUUCUCCGUGUUCGGUCCUGAUCGUCGACUGUGGUGCAAGGGGCUCUUAUUUGCAAGCGUGCAAACGAGCAUUUUCAUUUUUUGGUUUGAUAGCUUACGGUGGAUUGAAUUUUAGUACAUAAGCUCUUCCACAAGCAUCAUCCCUUGAACAGAUCGAACAGAGUCGUCAGCUCCGCGGGCGUCCAUGGCAGUUCCACCGGAAGCGACACUCCGGUUAUUCAUUCAUGGAGUGCCCCAUGCCGGGCGCCAGGGAGACCUAGCGUGAGUCGUCGGGGCGAGCUGCGUCACGCGCCAUGGUCCAUCGUUACCUCACUGAGAUCUCCGUGCGCCCCCUUGUCGCCUGCAGCCGGUCCACGACGAUGACGUGCUCGCCCCAAUCACUCAUGGACGAGACAUCGCCUCCCCUGACCGAUGUCAUCCAAGACCCCGCCUCCCCUACAUCAUCAACGCCUUUGUUCAUUGCUGCAACUGGCACUCUCGGCAUCACCCAAUUGUUGCUGGGCACUCCAGGCCCCAAUCUAAGAAAUCUUUUUUGCAGGUGUCAAUACAAGAACCUGAAGUUAUGGUUGCUUGCUUAUUAUGUAUCCCUACUUCUGGUGGCAGUAAAGCUAACUGGAAGUAUCAGCGAAGCGUUGAGUUAUUGCGAUCAUCAGAGUGUUAUAGGUUCACAUUAGUUGUUAACAAAUAUGACAAGAUGAUCCACCAUGAGUUAGUUCUCCUCUCUCAGAUGUGCUUUGUAAUUCCAAUAGAUGUCAAUGCACAACUUUUUUCAUCAGAGAUUGGCAAUGUGCCAUUUCAAAAAUCAAAACUCAGCGCUUUGUACUAAAUUGUUGUAACUUAUCACUAUGUUUGUAUUGUGCCAUUUGUAAUUUAUGUACAAUUUUGAUACAUGGAAAAUUAAUGUAGUACUUUUGUAA
This 5373-nucleotide long non-coding RNA is filed under the name Zea mays. RNAcentral describes it as "long non-coding RNA (ZMAY_LNC001255)". The record is from RNAcentral. Lineage: Eukaryota; Viridiplantae; Streptophyta; Magnoliopsida; Poales; Poaceae.